RNAcentral lists this ribosomal RNA (440 nucleotides) under uncultured bacterium. RNAcentral describes it as "partial 16S ribosomal RNA". It matches the Rfam family "Bacterial small subunit ribosomal RNA", at positions 338 to 795 of the family's 1533-position model. The record is from RNAcentral.
CCUACGGGAGACUGCAGUAGGGAAUAUUGCUCAAUGGGGGAAACCCUGAAGCAGCAACGCCGCGUGGGGGAUGAAGGUUUUCUGAUUGGAAACUCCUUUUGUUAGGGAAGUUAAUUACGGUAUCUGACGAGUAUUCACUGGCUAACUCCGUUCCAGCAGCCGCGGUAAUGCGGAGGGUGCAGGCGUUACUCGGAAUCACUGGGCGUAAAGGGCGCGUAGGCGGGUUAGCAAGUCAGAUGUGAAAUCCUAUGGCUUAACCAUAGAAUUGCAUUUGAAACUGUUAUGCUAGAGUAUGGGAGAGGUAGGUGGAAUUCUUGGUGUAGGGGUAAAAUCCGUAGAGAUCAAGAGGAAUACUGAUUGCGAAGGCGACCUGCUAGAACAUAACUGACGCUGAUGCGCGAAAGCGUGGGGAGCAAACAGGAUUAGAUACCCGGGUAGUC